GCAUGGCAUCUUUAUUUUUUGAUUUUCUCUCACUCUUCUUUCUUCUUCUUCUUUAUCUCAGCACCCGUGCCCCUCAUUUUUCGUCUUCUCCUUCAACUCCUUCUUCCCUCUUCAAGAUUCAAACCCGUGGGUACUAUGCAUCAGUACAUAAGUCAUAUUUCGAAAGCUCGGAUCAGAAAACUUCCUUGAUGAAAGUUGUUCAUCUGCUCGAGUACUACAGCUUGUAAAAUUUGUAGGCUUUUUUGAAUUUUUAUGAUACCUCAAAGUGGGUCUGCAACUUCUGCAUUCAUCCAUGGCUGGCUUGAUUGAGAGGUUCCAAAGCAUGAGGAAUGCCAUCUUCUUACUGAUUUG
Molecule: non-coding RNA, 351 nt
Organism: Prunus avium (sweet cherry)
Lineage: Eukaryota; Viridiplantae; Streptophyta; Magnoliopsida; Rosales; Rosaceae
Source: RefSeq, a predicted model, not a curated record